RNAcentral lists this ribosomal RNA (301 nucleotides) under uncultured bacterium. Its description in RNAcentral is "partial 16S ribosomal RNA". It matches the Rfam family "Bacterial small subunit ribosomal RNA", at positions 509 to 807 of the family's 1533-position model. The record is from RNAcentral.
CAGUAGCCGCGGUAAUACGAAGGGGGCAAGCGUUGUUCGGAAUUACUGGGCGUAAAGGGCGCGUAGGCGGCUUAUCAAGUCAGGCGUGAAAUUCCCGGGCUCAACCUGGGGGCUGCGUUUGAUACUGAUGAGCUUGAAUGCGGGAGAGGAUAGUGGAAUUCCCAGUGUAGAGGUGAAAUUCGUAGAUAUUGGGAAGAACACCGGUGGCGAAGGCGGCUAUCUGGCCCGUGAUUGACGCUGAGGCGCGAAAGCGUGGGGAGCAAACAGGAUUAGAUACCCCAGUAGUCCCUGUCUCUUAUAC